This 30-nucleotide non-coding RNA is filed under the name Mus musculus (house mouse). The record is from RNAcentral. Lineage: Eukaryota; Metazoa; Chordata; Mammalia; Rodentia; Muridae.
UGAUUGAAAAUAGCUCUGGACUUGGGAAGU